GACGAACGCUGGCGGCGCGCCUAACACAUGCAGGUCGAACGAGCGAGAGAGAGCUUGCUUUCUCGAGCGAGUGGCGAACGGGUGAGUAACGCGUGAGGAACCUGCCUCAAAGAGGGGGACAACAGUUGGAAACGACUGCUAAUACCGCAUAAGCCCACGGCUCGGCAUCGAGCAGGGGGAAAAGGAGCAAUCCGCUUUGAGAUGGCCUCGCGUCCGAUUAGCUAGUUGGUGAGGUAACGGCCCACCAAGGCGACGAUCGGUAGCCGGACUGAGAGGUUGAACGGCCACAUUGGGACUGAGACACGGCCCAGACUCCUACGGGAGGCAGCAGUGGGGAAUAUUGCACAAUGGGGGAAACCCUGAUGCAGCGACGCCGCGUGGAGGAAGAAGGUCUUCGGAUUGUAAACUCCUGUUGUUGGGGAAGAUAAUGACGGUACCCAACAAGGAAGUGACGGCUAACUACGUG
RNAcentral lists this ribosomal RNA (466 nucleotides) under uncultured bacterium. Its description in RNAcentral is "partial 16S ribosomal RNA". It matches the Rfam family "Bacterial small subunit ribosomal RNA", at positions 28 to 507 of the family's 1533-position model. The record is from RNAcentral.